This 2374-nucleotide long non-coding RNA is filed under the name Mus musculus (house mouse). Its description in RNAcentral is "long non-coding RNA chr5:115203626-115206000". The record is from RNAcentral. Lineage: Eukaryota; Metazoa; Chordata; Mammalia; Rodentia; Muridae.
UCAGGAGUUCAAGAUUAUCCUUAAAUGAAAAAGAAUUCAUCUCCGAUGCGCAGAUUCAGUAGAGGAUGGAUGGUCAUUCGAAGACCAGCCUGCCUAGCCGUUUUUCUCCCUCAGACAGACCAUUUCCUUUGUAUACACAGCCAGGACCCUGAGUGGCCUGUAACGAUCGAUCAAUGGACAGAUGACCUUCAGGAACCAGCUACGGUUUGGUUUUUUUUUUUUUUUUUUUUUGUCCUGGUCAGGAGAGUUCUAUCCUUUAAUCACCGGAAGUUUCCGCCCAUGAUCAGAGUCAGCCAACAUUGCGGUCUGGGAACAGGGCGGUUACAUCUGUGGCGCUUGGAGCUGUGCCUGGCCCCGCAUCAAGCAGUCCUACUUAGCGGUUCUGCAUGGCUUGCAAACAAAGUGGGUUUGGUAACAAAGAAGCCCACGGCACCACACGGAAAAGCAGAGAGCCUUUAAAUUUCCCAGAACGGGAGCCUCUCACCAGACUGAAGUAGCCACCAGGUGAGGCACCUGGAGUUCUCCAAGGUGGGUUUACCUCUGGGCAAGGACUAUUUCGUAUUCAAACUCGCACAAAGCUAAGCGCCUUUGCUUCUGAGAGCCGGCAUAAACCGCCGUGCCUCUGCAAGAGCAUCCAAAUACUGUGCUUCCUUCCGUCUGAGGGCCUAGCUGGGGAGGCUCUCCACCCUACAGAGUCAUGCAUGACAUCAUUUUUCCCAAGCAAAGGUGACAGAACUGGUCUAAGGGAACCACCCUAUCUAGGGAACAAUCAUUUCUACGAGGAUGUGACUUGCUCUGGGGUACACUUUUGAGAUACCAUGUCACUGGGCAGAUCUCCCUACCCUCUGAGUCUGGGCAGUCCCGUUUCCAUCCUCGUUCUAAUUUAACAAUACAGACUACACAGGGUCCAGGCUGGAUGUAGAAGUCUGUAGCUAAAACGGAGGAGGGCUCUUGAGGGGUCGGGGUGGGGUGGGGGAGCCCUUUCGACUUCACUUUCUGUUCUCUCUCUCUCUCUCUCUCUCUCUCUCUCUCUCUCUCUCUUUUAAUUUUAUCGGCUUUCAGCAUUUUCAAUUAAUCUUGGAAUGGUCGCUGGAGGCAAGAAGCCAGCGGCGCCUAAAGGAAUGAGAAAGUGCAAACUGAUCCAGAGGAAACAAAGGGCAGCGAGGGACCCCACAGCUGAGGCAGACGACACUGUGAGCGGCUCUGUCGGGAGGCUGGCGAGGCGUGCGCGCGCGGGUCUCUGCCUUAGCACCAUCUGCCGAUUCCUCAAGAGGACACAGAACAGACCAGCGAGCCAUGAAGAUUCGAUUAUGUAACGCGGGAGGAUUGCUUGUUUUCAAAAGGGAGACAAAUGGGAACGAAUUGAUUUGUUUGUCAAAGUCAUGGCCCCAAAGGAGACCAGUCCCCUCCUCUUCCUGGAGGAUUCAUCAAGGAAGGGGAGUGAUUUCACAGGCUCAGAAAAAAGGAGCCCAGGACUCACAGAGUCAGCUCAGAUGGUAACAGCAGCUCCUGGGCCGCAACGCGGUGAGCCACGUGGUAGAAGAAAAGAACCAACUUCAGCUAACAGUCCUCUGACCUCCAUAAGGGCACAUACCCACCCGCCGCGAAAUAAAUCCAUGCAAAACCAUAAUUCACUCCAUUCAUAAAAACGAGUCUAUUUCCAAAAUUGUGCUGGCAAACCUUUCUGGCUUCUCUGCUUGAGAAAUGACCAUUCCGCCGGUACCCAAAGGGCACAGCCAUAGAAUGGAACAUAAUUGGCACCCCCAACCCCAGCUUCAGAACCUGCCUGCUCUGUCUGACCUCUCUCGCUUGCUUUUAGGGAAGUAACAUCUGAUCUCAGAACCAGUGGGGGUCAUCUUACUAUUUCUAUUCUGAACUCUAGAAAGUGCUUUAGAGGCUAGGGGAUCUCUCUCUCUCUCUCUCUCUCUCUCUCUGUGUGUGUGUGUGUGUGUGUGUGUGUGUGUGUGUGUGUUAGUGUGUGUUAGUUGGUCCUUCCCUUCUACCAUGUGUCAGGGCACCAGCAACCAAACUCUGGUCAGCAAUAGCUAUCACCUAUGGCGACAUCUUGGUACCCUCUCACUUUCCUAUUCUUCUUCAUACUAUUCUGUCCUCGGUUUUGCUCCCUUGCCCUCCCUCGCCCUCCGGCUCUUGGGAGCAGCAGAAGACAGAGCAGAGGAUAAAGGUAGUGGUUCAGUAUCCCCAGCUCCUUCCCUGCCUCGGGUUGGCAGAGUCUUUGGAUAGAAGGUUGCCCCCUCUUCAAAGGAGCCUGGCCACUCGGGAGGCAGAGGCAGGCAGAUUUCUGAGUUCGAGGCUAGCCUGGUGUACAGAGUGAGUACCAGGACAGCCAGGGCUACACAGAGAAACCCUGUCUCGA